Molecule: transfer RNA, 76 nt
Filed under: Polymorphobacter multimanifer
Lineage: Bacteria; Pseudomonadati; Pseudomonadota; Alphaproteobacteria; Sphingomonadales; Sphingosinicellaceae
Description: tRNA-Lys
Rfam family: tRNA
About the family: Transfer RNA (tRNA) molecules are approximately 80 nucleotides in length. Their secondary structure includes four short double-helical elements and three loops (D, anti-codon, and T loops).
Source: RNAcentral
GGACACAUAGCUCAGUCGGUAGAGCAGCUGACUCUUAAUCAGCGGGUCCUUGGUUCGAGCCCAAGUGUGUCCACCA